Non-coding RNA from Triticum aestivum (bread wheat), 125 nucleotides. The record is from Rfam. NCBI's taxonomy places the organism in Eukaryota, Viridiplantae, Streptophyta, Magnoliopsida, Poales, Poaceae.
AUAUUACUCCCUCCGUUCAGAAAUACUCAUCGGAGAAAUGCAUAAAAAUGGAUGUAUCUAGAACUAAAAUACAUCUAGAUACAUCCAUUUCUCCGACAAGUAUUUCUGGACGGAGAGAGUAUUUU